CAAACACAGAACGUUGUGAGGACGUUGCCAGUUAGUCGUCUUUUGGUCAGCGCGACAUGACUUUAUGGCAACGUUGUGAGGACGUCGUGGUAAAGUUCCAUUUUUUAAAAUCUUGGCUAACUUCCCAGAAACGUCGUGGGCACGUACUCAAAAGACGUCGCUAGUUAGUCCCAUUGGGGACGUUGUAGCGACGUGGUCAGCUGGUCUUCAGAUAACUUUUAAUAUUAUUGCACUAGAUGUAUUAUUAUUAUUAAGAUACCAUUUGAACAGCAUAUUCUUUGGGAAAUAUACAAAAAAAUUAAUCAAGCAUGUUAAAAUAAUUAUAUAUAUAUAUAUAUAUAUAUAUAUAUAUAUAUAUAUAUAUAUAUAUAUAUAUAUAUAUAUAUAUAUAUAUAUAUAUGCCAUCAGUUUAAGAACAAUAAAAUAAACAAUUUACUUAGCAAAUGGUGAUAAUGUUUGUUAAUGAAAGAGAGUACGGGACAAAUUAACAUUUAAACCAUAAACUAGCAGCGCACGUCACUUUCUGAGUGAAGUGCGCGACGUGCGCGUGCCCGUCAUUUUGUAACGGUCAACUUCCAGCAGACGGACACGGAGGAAAGGGCCUGACAACCACCAGUUGAGUCCAUGAUUCAGGGAAGAGACAGUCUGGGCAGCAGCAACAAGACAACUAUUACAAGUAGAGAUGGGUUUCAAGAACUGGUACUAAUUUGGUUCCUGACUUGUUCGACACAACCACAUAUCCUCCAAAUCAUCUCUUCGUGGAUGGCAGCAAGGAUCCAGGAUCAAGAGAUCAUUCUUCAUGGAGACUGUUACACAGGAAGCAGUUUCUCCUGGGUGAAAAACUAAACCUGGUUGUUUCAGCAUCACUCAGGCAAGACUAAAUACUUUUAAAUUGAUUUCAGUUGGUUAUGUGUUUCAGGUCAUCCUGACCAUUCUGCUGUCCUGGAUAUUUGAGGGAAAGAUUAAAAACAAGGAGGUCUGGGAAUGACUGAAGGGAACUGACAGCAGUUAGGGAAGGAAGUAAUCACCAGAAUCUCAGAGGAUGUUGACAGUGCAGGUCCAGGAUGAAGAAGAGGAGGAAGAACACGUUUAACAAUUUUCUCAUAAGCUUGCCAUGUGUUAUAAUAAAAACAAUGAACAUGGCUACAAUAAUAUGCUAAAUGUUAUUAAAAGAUUCCAGUUUGCAAGAAGUCUGAGUGUCUGACUCUACACUAGAGGAACUCUUUUCUGAAGAAGAUCAGGUGCUGAGAAGAAGCCUUGUUCUACAGCACAACACUGCAUCAAGCCUCCUGUCCUUCCCUCAGAAGAGCCUGUCUUCUGCUGCUGGGGAGACACUUUGACAAGUGGGCACUGGAUGCUGAGUAUGGAAGGCGAGGUGGUGUGUGAGGGCACUCAGCCCAGUUUCCUGUCCGGCCUUGCCACCAUGUUUGCUGCUUAUUACUAGUUUAAUCUUGAGUAUCAGGAGGAAGCAGUGUGUACCUUGGAGUUCAUUCAAAGGUGCUUUGUGGGCAUAAAUCCGGAGAGAGGAUCCAAAGCCAAGGGAAAAGUACCAUCGAAAUAAAAACAGGACAAGUGAUACAGAAGAAAAUGUGUGGCAGUCAACCCACAUGUUGCCACUCUUCUGUGCAAAUUCCAAUGGAAUUUCUGAAAUUCACACUUUGAAUCCUGGGAUGGAACUUCAUCUGGAGCAUAAUUGUUAUUUGGUUGAUUUUUAUCUGUUUGAUGGAAAGUUUGUAUGACUUGUUUGGCCAUAUUGGUCUAUUCUUUAAGUGAUGAAAGCUAUCUGAAAAUGUCUUUGUGGUUUUUAAAGGAUUAGUUCACCCAAAAAUGAAAAUUAAGUCAAUAAUUACUUAUGUCGUUCCACACCCGUAAGAUCUUCGUUCAUCUUCACAACACACAUUAAGAUGUGGUUCAGUGAAGCCUGCAUUUCUAGCAAGAUCAUUUCUUUUUUCAAUGCCCAGAAAGCCUCUAAAACAUUUAAAACAAUUAAUGUGACUACAGUUGUUCAAACCUAAAUAUUAUAAAGCGACGAGAAUACUUUUUCUGCCAACCCCCCAAAACAAC
Long non-coding RNA from Carassius gibelio (silver crucian carp), 2064 nucleotides. RefSeq lists it as uncharacterized. NCBI's taxonomy places the organism in Eukaryota, Metazoa, Chordata, Actinopteri, Cypriniformes, Cyprinidae. The transcript has 9 exons. The record is from RefSeq and is a predicted model, not a curated record.